GGUUAAGCGACUAAGCGUACACGGUGGAUGCCCUGGCAGUCAGAGGCGAUGAAGGACGUGCUAAUCUGCGAAAAGCGCCGGCGAGGUGAUAUGAACCCUUGACCCGGCGAUGUCCGAAUGGGGAAACCCAGUGCAAUCCGUUGCACUAUCGUUAACUGAAUACAUAGGUUAACGAGGCGAACCGGGGGAACUGAAACAUCUAAGUACCCCGAGGAAAAGAAAUCAACCGAGAUUCCCCCAGUAGCGGCGAGCGAACGGGGAGCAGCCCGGAGUCUGAAUCAGCUUGUGUGUUAGUGGAACGGUCUGGAAAGUCCGACGGUACAGGGUGAUAGUCCCGUACACGAAAGCACACAUGCUGUGAACUCGAAGAGUAGGGCGGGACACGUGGUAUCCUGUCUGAAUAUGGGGGGACCAUCCUCCAAGGCUAAAUACUCCUGACUGACCGAUAGUGAACCAGUACCGUGAGGGAAAGGCGAAAAGAACCCCGGCGAGGGGAGUGAAAAAGAACCUGAAACCGUGUACGUACAAGCAGUGGGAGCCUCUUUAUGGGGUGACUGCGUACCUUUUGUAUAAUGGGUCAGCGACUUAUAUUCUGUAGCAAGGUUAACCGUAUAGGGGAGCCGAAGGGAAACCGAGUCUUAACUGGGCGUUAAGUUGCAGGGUAUAGACCCGAAACCCGGUGAUCUAGCCAUGGGCAGGUUGAAGGUUGGGUAACACUAACUGGAGGACCGAACCGACUAAUGUUGAAAAAUUAGCGGAUGACCUGUGGCUGGGGGUGAAAGGCCAAUCAAACCGGGAGAUAGCUGGUUCUCCCCGAAAGCUAUUUAGGUAGCGCCUCGUGAACUCAUCUUCGGGGGUAGAGCACUGUUUCGGCUAGGGGGCCAUCCCGGCUUACCAACCCGAUGCAAACUACGAAUACCGAAGAAUGUUAUCACGGGAGACACACGGCGGGUGCUAACGUCCGUCGUGAAGAGGGAAACAACCCAGACCGCCAGCUAAGGUCCCAAAGUCAUGGUUAAGUGGGAAACGAUGUGGGAAGGCACAGACAGCCAGGAUGUUGGCUUAGAAGCAGCCAUCAUUUAAAGAAAGCGUAAUAGCUCACUGGUCGAGUCGGCCUGCGCGGAAGAUGUAACGGGGCUAAACCAUGCACCGAAGCUGCGGCAGCGACACUAUGUGUUGUUGGGUAGGGGAGCGUUCUGUAAGCCGUUGAAGGUGUGCUGUGAGGCAUGCUGGAGGUAUCAGAAGUGCGAAUGCUGACAUAAGUAACGAUAAAGCGGGUGAAAAGCCCGCUCGCCGGAAGACCAAGGGUUCCUGUCCAACGUUAAUCGGGGCAGGGUGAGUCGACCCCUAAGGCGAGGCCGAAAGGCGUAGUCGAUGGGAAACAGGUUAAUAUUCCUGUACUUGGUGUUACUGCGAAGGGGGGACGGAGAAGGCUAUGUCAGCCGGGCGACGGUUGUCCCGGUUUAAGCAUGUAGGCGGAGGUUCCAGGUAAAUCCGGUACCUUAUUAACGCUGAGGUGUGAUGACGAGGCACUACGGUGCUGAAGUGAUAAAUGCCCUGCUUCCAGGAAAAGCCUCUAAGCAUCAGGUAACACGAAAUCGUACCCCAAACCGACACAGGUGGUCAGGUAGAGAAUACCAAGGCGCUUGAGAGAACUCGGGUGAAGGAACUAGGCAAAAUGGUGCCGUAACUUCGGGAGAAGGCACGCUGAUGUGUAGGUGAAGCCCCUGCGGGUGGAGCUGAAAUCAGUCGAAGAUACCAGCUGGCUGCAACUGUUUAUUAAAAACACAGCACUGUGCAAACACGAAAGUGGACGUAUACGGUGUGACGCCUGCCCGGUGCCGGAAGGUUAAUUGAUGGGGUUAGCGGCAACGCGAAGCUCUUGAUCGAAGCCCCGGUAAACGGCGGCCGUAACUAUAACGGUCCUAAGGUAGCGAAAUUCCUUGUCGGGUAAGUUCCGACCUGCACGAAUGGCGUAAUGAUGGCCAGGCUGUCUCCACCCGAGACUCAGUGAAAUUGAACUCGCUGUGAAGAUGCAGUGUACCCGCGGCAAGACGGAAAGACCCCGUGAACCUUUACUAUAGCUUGACACUGAACACUGGUCCUUGAUGUGUAGGAUAGGUGGGAGGCUUUGAAGCGUGGACGCCAGUCUGCGUGGAGCCGCCCUUGAAAUACCACCCUUUAAUGGCUGGUGUUCUAACGUGGACCCGUAAUCCGGGUUGCGGACAGUGUCUGGUGGGUAGUUUGACUGGGGCGGUCUCCUCCCAAAGAGUAACGGAGGAGCACGAAGGUUGGCUAAUCCUGGUCGGACAUCAGGAGGUUAGUGCAAUGGCAUAAGCCAGCUUGACUGCGAGCGUGACGGCGCGAGCAGGUGCGAAAGCAGGUCAUAGUGAUCCGGUGGUUCUGAAUGGAAGGGCCAUCGCUCAACGGAUAAAAGGUACUCCGGGGAUAACAGGCUGAUACCGCCCAAGAGUUCAUAUCGACGGCGGUGUUUGGCACCUCGAUGUCGGCUCAUCACAUCCUGGGGCUGAAGUAGGUCCCAAGGGUAUGGCUGUUCGCCAUUUAAAGUGGUACGCGAGCUGGGUUUAGAACGUCGUGAGACAGUUCGGUCCCUAUCUGCCGUGGGCGCUGGAGAAUUGAGGGGGGCUGCUCCUAGUACGAGAGGACCGGAGUGGACGCAUCACUGGUGUUCGGGUUGUCAUGCCAAUGGCACUGCCCGGUAGCUAAAUGCGGAAGAGAUAAGUGCUGAAAGCAUCUAAGCACGAAACUUGCCCCGAGAUGAGUUCUCCCUGAGACUUUAAGUCUCCUGAAGGAACGUUGAAGACGACGACGUUGAUAGGUCGGGUGUGUAAGCGCAGCGAUGCGUUGAGCUAACCGAUACUAAUGAACCGUGAGGCUUAACCUU
This 2905-nucleotide ribosomal RNA is filed under the name Enterobacter hormaechei. RNAcentral's name for it is "23S ribosomal RNA". It matches the Rfam family "Bacterial large subunit ribosomal RNA". Lineage: Bacteria; Pseudomonadati; Pseudomonadota; Gammaproteobacteria; Enterobacterales; Enterobacteriaceae. The record is from RNAcentral.